UGGGGGAGGAGUCAGAAGUCUCAUAGUGCUACAUCCUAUGAAUAAGGUGGAUUAUGAGGCCACCAGGACUGCUGUUUUUAUGAGCCUGCCUUUCUCUUGAAUGACUGACAAUAGGCAGCAACAUUUACCAUAUUUUUAAUCCUGCCUCAGAUAGACUUUCACAAAAGGGGACUUCCAGAUCUGCUUAAAAGCUAUAACAUUCUUGGAGACCCCAGUGAGACGACUCCGCCACCGUGAGAUGGCCUCCCUCCAUGUCUCCCCGCGCAGGAGGCAGGGUGUAGGGGAGGUGCCCCCUGAGAUGAUCCAGGGCCCUGCAUCCCAGAUGCUGACCUGAGGGACAUGGAAGGACCAGCGAUCAAGACAACAUUUCUGAGUUCCCAGGAACCCUCCACUUGGAGGUCAACUUCUUGGAUGUCCAGGACACAAGAUAGAUUCACCAGCCAUCUCACCAUUCCUUGGACCAAGACU
Molecule: long non-coding RNA, 468 nt
Organism: Heterocephalus glaber (naked mole-rat)
Lineage: Eukaryota; Metazoa; Chordata; Mammalia; Rodentia; Bathyergidae
Source: Ensembl